AAGUAUACAAAACAACCUACACAUGAAAUUCUACCAAGUAUGUCUACACACACACAAGUGCACCAACCUGGAUUCACCAAGCUAGCAAACUACACCACACUACACCACACUCAUGUUGGUUUGAGAGGAGGUAAAUAUAAACCCUCAUGUGCAAAAUCACUACAAAGCUACAAUAAUCAUGGGCUGCUGGAAAUCAAUUCAGCAAAGGAAAAAAAUAAAAGAAAAC
Molecule: long non-coding RNA, 226 nt
Filed under: Hordeum vulgare
Lineage: Eukaryota; Viridiplantae; Streptophyta; Magnoliopsida; Poales; Poaceae
Description: long non-coding RNA (HVUL_LNC014948)
Source: RNAcentral